This 216-nucleotide ribosomal RNA is filed under the name Glomeromycotina sp. Its description in RNAcentral is "partial small subunit ribosomal RNA". The stretch from base 40 to 216 matches the Rfam family "Eukaryotic small subunit ribosomal RNA", at positions 686 to 864 of the family's 1831-position model. Lineage: Eukaryota; Fungi; Glomeromycota. The record is from RNAcentral.
GGGUCAGUAGGUUGGUCGUGCCACCGGUACGUACUGGUCUCACUGAUUCCUCCUUCCUGAAGAACCGUAAUGCCAUUAAUUUGGUGUUGCGGGGAAACAGGACUGUUACUUUGAAAAGAUUAGAGUGUUUAAAGCAAGCUAACGCUUGAAUACAUAAGCAUGGAAUAAUGAAAUAGGACGAUCGAUCCUAUUUUGUUGGUUUCUAGGAUUGACGUA